GGGUUGUGAGGUUAAGCGACUAAGCGUACACGGUGGAUGCCCUGGCAGUCAGAGGCGAUGAAGGACGUGCUAAUCUGCGAUAAGCGUCGGUAAGGUGAUAUGAACCGUUAUAACCGGCGAUUUCCGAAUGGGGAAACCCAGUGUGUUUCGACACACUAUCAUUAACUGAAUCCAUAGGUUAAUGAGGCGAACCGGGGGAACUGAAACAUCUAAGUACCCCGAGGAAAAGAAAUCAACCGAGAUUCCCCCAGUAGCGGCGAGCGAACGGGGAGGAGCCCAGAGCCUGAAUCAGUGUGUGUGUUAGUGGAAGCGUCUGGAAAGGCGCGCGAUACAGGGUGACAGCCCCGUACACAAAAAUGCACAUGCUGUGAGCUCGAUGAGUAGGGCGGGACACGUGGUAUCCUGUCUGAAUAUGGGGGGACCAUCCUCCAAGGCUAAAUACUCCUGACUGACCGAUAGUGAACCAGUACCGUGAGGGAAAGGCGAAAAGAACCCCGGCGAGGGGAGUGAAAAAGAACCUGAAACCGUGUACGUACAAGCAGUGGGAGCACGCUUAGGCGUGUGACUGCGUACCUUUUGUAUAAUGGGUCAGCGACUUAUAUUCUGUAGCAAGGUUAACCGAAUAGGGGAGCCGAAGGGAAACCGAGUCUUAACUGGGCGUUAAGUUGCAGGGUAUAGACCCGAAACCCGGUGAUCUAGCCAUGGGCAGGUUGAAGGUUGGGUAACACUAACUGGAGGACCGAACCGACUAAUGUUGAAAAAUUAGCGGAUGACUUGUGGCUGGGGGUGAAAGGCCAAUCAAACCGGGAGAUAGCUGGUUCUCCCCGAAAGCUAUUUAGGUAGCGCCUCGUGAAUUCAUCUCCGGGGGUAGAGCACUGUUUCGGCAAGGGGGUCAUCCCGACUUACCAACCCGAUGCAAACUGCGAAUACCGGAGAAUGUUAUCACGGGAGACACACGGCGGGUGCUAACGUCCGUCGUGAAGAGGGAAACAACCCAGACCGCCAGCUAAGGUCCCAAAGUCAUGGUUAAGUGGGAAACGAUGUGGGAAGGCCCAGACAGCCAGGAUGUUGGCUUAGAAGCAGCCAUCAUUUAAAGAAAGCGUAAUAGCUCACUGGUCGAGUCGGCCUGCGCGGAAGAUGUAACGGGGCUAAACCAUGCACCGAAGCUGCGGCAGCGACGCUGAUGCGUUGUUGGGUAGGGGAGCGUUCUGUAAGCCUGUGAAGGUGUGCUGUGAGGCAUGCUGGAGGUAUCAGAAGUGCGAAUGCUGACAUAAGUAACGAUAAAGCGGGUGAAAAGCCCGCUCGCCGGAAGACCAAGGGUUCCUGUCCAACGUUAAUCGGGGCAGGGUGAGUCGACCCCUAAGGCGAGGCCGAAAGGCGUAGUCGAUGGGAAACAGGUUAAUAUUCCUGUACUUGGUGUUACUGCGAAGGGGGGACGGAGAAGGCUAUGUUGGCCGGGCGACGGUUGUCCCGGUUUAAGCGUGUAGGCUGGUUUUCCAGGCAAAUCCGGAAAAUCAAGGCUGAGGCGUGAUGACGAGGCACUACGGUGCUGAAGCAACAAAUGCCCUGCUUCCAGGAAAAGCCUCUAAGCAUCAGGUAACAUCAAAUCGUACCCCAAACCGACACAGGUGGUCAGGUAGAGAAUACCAAGGCGCUUGAGAGAACUCGGGUGAAGGAACUAGGCAAAAUGGUGCCGUAACUUCGGGAGAAGGCACGCUGAUAUGUAGGUGAAGUCCCUUGCGGAUGGAGCUGAAAUCAGUCGAAGAUACCAGCUGGCUGCAACUGUUUAUUAAAAACACAGCACUGUGCAAACACGAAAGUGGACGUAUACGGUGUGACGCCUGCCCGGUGCCGGAAGGUUAAUUGAUGGGGUCAGCGCAAGCGAAGCUCUUGAUCGAAGCCCCGGUAAACGGCGGCCGUAACUAUAACGGUCCUAAGGUAGCGAAAUUCCUUGUCGGGUAAGUUCCGACCUGCACGAAUGGCGUAAUGAUGGCCAGGCUGUCUCCACCCGAGACUCAGUGAAAUUGAACUCGCUGUGAAGAUGCAGUGUACCCGCGGCAAGACGGAAAGACCCCGUGAACCUUUACUAUAGCUUGACACUGAACAUUGAGCCUUGAUGUGUAGGAUAGGUGGGAGGCUUUGAAGUGUGGACGCCAGUCUGCAUGGAGCCGACCUUGAAAUACCACCCUUUAAUGUUUGAUGUUCUAACGUUGACCCGUAAUCCGGGUUGCGGACAGUGUCUGGUGGGUAGUUUGACUGGGGCGGUCUCCUCCUAAAGAGUAACGGAGGAGCACGAAGGUUGGCUAAUCCUGGUCGGACAUCAGGAGGUUAGUGCAAUGGCAUAAGCCAGCUUGACUGCGAGCGUGACGGCGCGAGCAGGUGCGAAAGCAGGUCAUAGUGAUCCGGUGGUUCUGAAUGGAAGGGCCAUCGCUCAACGGAUAAAAGGUACUCCGGGGAUAACAGGCUGAUACCGCCCAAGAGUUCAUAUCGACGGCGGUGUUUGGCACCUCGAUGUCGGCUCAUCACAUCCUGGGGCUGAAGUAGGUCCCAAGGGUAUGGCUGUUCGCCAUUUAAAGUGGUACGCGAGCUGGGUUUAGAACGUCGUGAGACAGUUCGGUCCCUAUCUGCCGUGGGCGCUGGAGAACUGAGGGGGGCUGCUCCUAGUACGAGAGGACCGGAGUGGACGCAUCACUGGUGUUCGGGUUGUCAUGCCAAUGGCACUGCCCGGUAGCUAAAUGCGGAAGAGAUAAGUGCUGAAAGCAUCUAAGCACGAAACUUGCCCCGAGAUGAGUUCUCCCUGACUCCUUGAGAGUCCUGAAGGAACGUUGAAGACGACGACGUUGAUAGGCCGGGUGUGUAAGCGCAGCGAUGCGUUGAGCUAACCGGUACUAAUGAACCGUGAGGCUUAACCUUACAACGCCGAAGCUGUU
This 2930-nucleotide ribosomal RNA is filed under the name Escherichia coli. Its description in RNAcentral is "23S ribosomal RNA". It matches the Rfam family "Bacterial large subunit ribosomal RNA". Lineage: Bacteria; Pseudomonadati; Pseudomonadota; Gammaproteobacteria; Enterobacterales; Enterobacteriaceae. The record is from RNAcentral.